RNAcentral lists this long non-coding RNA (436 nucleotides) under Numida meleagris (helmeted guineafowl). RNAcentral's name for it is "lncRNA (ENSNMEG00000008311.1)". The record is from RNAcentral. Lineage: Eukaryota; Metazoa; Chordata; Aves; Galliformes; Numididae.
UGUUAAGGCUGGUGACCCAAUGAAGGACCUUUUUACCUUGAAAGUAACAACAACCCAAUCUGUAUAAAAAUAACAUAACUAUUUUUCUUUUUCCCCCCACCUAGGUCUUCAUCCCAGGAGGGUUUGUACUAUGUGGAGGUGACCUUUAAAGGACGCAUGAUUAACAACCUGACUGGGGUGGAGAAAGAAAACUAUGCUUUCAAGUUUUCUGCUGCACAGACGCCUGUGGUUUACCAAAUUAGCCCGCCAUCUGGCAUCCCAGGAAAUUUAAUAGAGAUCUAUGGGAAGACAAUUGCUGGGCAAUACGAGACCCUGGACUUCAAUGCGGAUUAUAUUGAUGGGUAAUUAUAUAUAAGCUGCUACCUGCCCCAGCCCCUGUAAAUUGUUUUCUUCUAUUGCCCUCUGCAAGAGCAAUAAAUUGCAACCAGUUGGCCCA